Molecule: ribosomal RNA, 423 nt
Filed under: Bacillus inaquosorum
Lineage: Bacteria; Bacillati; Bacillota; Bacilli; Caryophanales; Bacillaceae
Description: bacterial SSU rRNA
Rfam family: Bacterial small subunit ribosomal RNA
Source: RNAcentral
ACCCGCGGCGCAUUAGCUAGUUGGUGAGGUAACGGCUCACCAAGGCAACGAUGCGUAGCAGACCUGAGAGGGUGAUCGGCCACACUGGGACUGAGACACGGCCCAGACUCCUACGGGAGGCAGCAGUAGGGAAUCUUCCGCAAUGGACGAAAGUCUGACGGAGCAACGCCGCGUGAGUGAUGAAGGUUUUCGGAUCGUAAAGCUCUGUUGUUAGGGAAGAACAAGUACCGUUCGAAUAGGGCGGUACCUUGACGGUACCUAACCAGAAAGCCACGGCUAACUACGUGCCAGCAGCCGCGGUAAUACGUAGGUGGCAAGCGUUGUCCGGAAUUAUUGGGCGUAAAGGGCUCGCAGGCGGUUUCUUAAGUCUGAUGUGAAAGCCCCCGGCUCAACCGGGGAGGGUCAUUGGAAACUGGGGAACUU